RNAcentral lists this long non-coding RNA (341 nucleotides) under Capsicum annuum. Its description in RNAcentral is "long non-coding RNA (CANN_LNC010916)". The record is from RNAcentral. Lineage: Eukaryota; Viridiplantae; Streptophyta; Magnoliopsida; Solanales; Solanaceae.
UCUCUUUAAAAAUAUCACUUGAAUUUUUCGAGGAAAUGUGUCUCCUUGACAAGGAAGUGUGUCUCCUAGAGAUCUUAAAUUAUGAGUUUUACCAUGGUUUUGAUUACCAAACUUGUGCAACAACAUUGCCUCUUGCAUUUGUAGAAGUGAGAAAUUACGGUCUUUGAUGUUUAGGCUCCAAAAUCCUUGAUCUGAAUGUAACAUGUGUUCCUGUUUCAUACAAAGAAAAAUUGUGAGUUUAAAACAUGGUGGCUGGUUUGUGGCUUUAGCUUUCGCGGCAAUCGCUCUUGUCCCCAUCACAUUUAACCUUGCUUCCAACCAUUAGCAUAUGUCAUCGACUU